This 1710-nucleotide long non-coding RNA is filed under the name Gouania willdenowi (blunt-snouted clingfish). RNAcentral's name for it is "lncRNA (ENSGWIG00000012647.1)". The record is from RNAcentral. Lineage: Eukaryota; Metazoa; Chordata; Actinopteri; Blenniiformes; Gobiesocidae.
GCUUUGCAGAACAGCUUAAUGUUGGCUGCAUCACAAAGGGCUUCUAAAAACAUUCAAAGUGAGUCUAAUAUCAUCCGGUAAAUAUUGACCAGCAAGUGUCCUCAGUGAGCAACGUUUGUAACUAAGUCCUCCACAUUUGGCUUCAACUCAUACGACGACUUCUCAUUGACCAAUAUGGAGAAAAACACAGGAUGGUUUAUGUUGGGGACAAAAGCGGAUGUCACACAGAAUGCUGCUGCUUCCACCACCACCACAACGACUGAAAAUGGGUCCUCCACAUUUAGCUACAACUUACCCGGGGUCUGCUCAUUCUCCGUUCCGAUCAUCAACAAAGAUUGCUCUACGUGUGGGAGAAAAGCGGAGGUCAAACACGAUUUUGUUGGUCCCAUCAUCACCACGGCUGAAAAUGGGUCCUCCAUAUAUCGCUUCAACGCAUACGGCUGCAACUUCUCAUGCACCGUCCCAAUCAAGAAGACACAAAACUUUGGUUUUGGGCAACCAGGGCCAUCCUUCAACCCAAACACCAGCAUCCCACUUCCUAAUUUGUUCAAGCCGAGAGAAUCCUCUGCGUUUGGGCCAAAAGGGGAUGUCACACAGAAUGCUGCUGCUCCCAUCAACUUCAAAGCGACUGAGAACGGGCCAUCCACAUUAGGCUUCAACUCAAACAGCAGCUCCCCAUUCCCUAAUUUUUUCGGUCAGAGAGGACCCUCUGCGUUUGGGCCAAAAGCGGACGUCACACAGAAUGCUGCUGCUCCCACCAACUUCAGAGCGACUGAGAACGGGCCCUCCACAUUAGGCUUCGGCAGCAACCCACUUCCUAAUUUGUUCGGUCGGAGAGAACCCUCUGCGUUUGGGCCAAAAGCGGAUGUCACACAGAAUGCUGCUGCUCCCACCACCUUCACAAUGACUGCAAAUGGGCCAUCCACAUUAGGCUUCGGCAGCAAACCACAUCCUGAUGUGUUCAAGCAGAGAGAACAAGCGUUUGGGCCAAAAGGGCCAUCCACAUUAGGCUUCGGCAGCAACCCAUUCCCUAAUUUGUUCGGUCAGAGAGAUCCCUCUGCGUUUGGGCCAAAAGCGGAUGUCACACAGAAUGCUGCUGCUCCCACCAACUUCAGAGCGACUGAGAACGGGCCAUCCACAUUAGGCUUCAACUCAAACAGCAGGAUGACACUUGGCGAUUUCUUCAGGCAGGGAGAACCCUCUGCGUUUGGGCCAAAAGCGGAUGUCACACAGAAUGCUGCUGCUCCCACCAACUUCACAAUGACUGCAAAUGGGCCAUCCACAUUAGGCUUCAACUCAAACGGCAGCUUCCCACUUCCUGAUUUGUUCAGGCAGAGAGAACCCUCUGCGUUUGGGACAAAAGCGGAUGUCACACAGAAUGCUGCUGCUCCCACCUCCACCACAACGACUGAGAACGGGUUCUCCACAUUUGGCUUCAACCCAAAAAGCAGGCUCUCAUUUGUUGAUUCGAUGAAGGACAAAAAACCCUUUAUUUUUAUUAGAAAAGCGGAUGUCACACAGAAUGCUGCUGCUCCCACCACCACCACAACAACUGAGAAUGCUGACUCUAACUUCUCGUUGACGAACAUGUCUGGUGUUGCUGCAGCGUCUGCUUCCAAUAACAAGGAGGAGGGAUGUGACUCAGAAGAGAACAACGUGGACGUUCAGCCCAUAGUGUCCAUACCUGAGUCUGGGGAGGAUGGCGAGUAG